UACGAAGGGGGCUAGCGUUGCUCGGAAUUACUGGGCGUAAAGGGCGCGUAGGCGGACAGCUUAGUCAGAGGUGAAAGCCCAGGGCUCAACCUUGGAACUGCCUUUGAUACUGGCUGUCUUGAGUUCGGGAGAGGUGAGUGGAAUGCCGAGUGUAGAGGUGAAAUUCGUAGAUAUUCGGCGGAACACCAGUGGCGAAGGCGACUCACUGGCCCGAUACUGACGCUGAGGCGCGAAAGCGUGGGGAGCAAACAGG
RNAcentral lists this ribosomal RNA (253 nucleotides) under uncultured bacterium. RNAcentral's name for it is "partial 16S ribosomal RNA". It matches the Rfam family "Bacterial small subunit ribosomal RNA", at positions 524 to 776 of the family's 1533-position model. The record is from RNAcentral.